Molecule: ribosomal RNA, 84 nt
Filed under: Sporomusaceae bacterium
Lineage: Bacteria; Bacillati; Bacillota; Negativicutes; Selenomonadales; Sporomusaceae
Source: RNAcentral
CCCAUCCCGAACACAGAAGUUAAGCCCAUAUACGUCGAAAGUACUUGGCUGGCGACGGCCUGGGAGGAUAGAUAGUUGCUGAUU